RNAcentral lists this ribosomal RNA (819 nucleotides) under uncultured bacterium. RNAcentral describes it as "bacterial SSU rRNA". It matches the Rfam family "Bacterial small subunit ribosomal RNA", at positions 16 to 842 of the family's 1533-position model. The record is from RNAcentral.
AUCCUGGCUCAGGAUGAACGCUGGCGGCGUGCCUAACACAUGCAAGUCGAACGAAGCGCUUUUCCCGAAUUUUCGGAGGAGGGGAGAGUGACUGAGUGGCGGACGGGUGAGUAACGCGUGGGGAACCUGCCCUGUACCGGGGGAUAACAGCCGGAAACGGCUGCUAAUACCGCAUAAGCGCACAGUGCCGCAUGGCACGGUGUGAAAAACCACGGUGGUACAGGAUGGCCCCGCGUCUGAUUAGUUGGUUGGCAGGGUAACGGCCUACCAAGACGGCGAUCAGUAGCCGGCCUGAGAGGGUGAACGGCCACACUGGGACUGAGACACGGCCCAGACUCCUGCGGGAGGCAGCAGUGGGGAAUAUUGCACAAUGGGGGAAACCCUGAUGCAGCGACGCCGCGUGAGCGAGGAAGUAUUUCGGCAUGUAAAGCUCUGUCAGCAGGGAAGAAGAAUGACGGUACCUGAAGAAGAAGCACCGGCUAAAUACGUGCCAGCAGCCGCGGUAAUACGUAUGGUGCAAGCGUUAUCCGGAUUUACUGGGUGUAAAGGGAGCGCAGGCGGUUCUGCAAGUCUGAUGUGAAAGCCCGGGGCUCAACCGCGGGACUGCAUUGGAAACUGCGGGACUGGAGUGUCGGAGGGGUAAGCGGAAUUCCUGGUGUAGCGGUGAAAUGCGUAGAUAUCAAGAGGGACACCGGGUGGCGAAGGCGGCUUACUGGACGAUGACUGACGCUGAGGCUCGAAGGCGUGGGGAGCAAACAGGAUUAGAUACCCUGGUAGUCACGCCGUAACAUGAACCACAAGGGGGGCGGGGGGGCCCGC